RNAcentral lists this transfer RNA (85 nucleotides) under Pseudomonas fluorescens. Its description in RNAcentral is "tRNA-Leu". Lineage: Bacteria; Pseudomonadati; Pseudomonadota; Gammaproteobacteria; Pseudomonadales; Pseudomonadaceae. The record is from RNAcentral.
GAAAAGCGUGGAUGACGUGUUCAACGGCUAAGUCGUUGUAGCGUGUCAAACAAAAGCCCCGGCUCGUGAGAGUCGGGGCUUUUUU